Long non-coding RNA from Peromyscus californicus insignis, 12830 nucleotides. RefSeq lists it as uncharacterized. The transcript is spliced from 2 exons. The record is from RefSeq and is a predicted model, not a curated record. NCBI's taxonomy places the organism in Eukaryota, Metazoa, Chordata, Mammalia, Rodentia, Cricetidae.
CAAGAGAAACAGAUGGGAGAGUCCCUGAGAUGGCAUUCAGUUGUGCGUGCGUGCGUGCGUGCGUGUGUGUGUGCGCGCACUUGGUCGCGCAUGAGGCCCUGUGUGUUUAUAUAAGUGGGGGAACAUGGACAUGUUCACAUGCGUGUGUUGAGAUCCAAGGCUGACCUGUCUUCCUCUAAGAUAGAUUCUUCACCUUAUUCAUUGAAGCAGGGUCUCUCAGUCGAACCCAGAGAUCACAGGUCCGGGUUGGGAUUGCUAAACAGCAGGUCCACUAGCCAGUUUACUCUGAGGAUCCCAUCUCUGUUUUUGGUGCAAGCUUCCAGGACCACAGCCGAUUUAUGUGGGUACUGGGGACCUGAACUCUGAGCCUUGCACUUGCUGAACUCUGAUCCUGGUUUGUUGUUGAGAAUAGUCUCUCACCCUGCAGCCCAGAUUAGCCUCAAACUCAUGGCAACCCUCCUGCCUCAGCUUCAUGAGUGCUGAGAUUACAGGGGUGAGCCACCAAACCUGGCCUUUAGUCCCCUCUCUCUCCAGUCUGGAGAGACAAAAUGGUCUCCAGAGGAGCCAAGGCAAGACUCUGUGGCAUGUGUCUGUGGUAGCACAAGGGGCAUUAGGAGCAAGAGGAAGGGGAGAGAGAACUGCCCAGGAAGAUGGACAGGAAUUGGAGGCUCUGACAGAAGAAAUCCCCAUUGGAUCUCAGAGCUGGAGUUCGCCCGGUGUGGGAGGCUGACGUCUUUCACACCCGGGCACCCACUGAAGCUCAUUGGAUGGGUUGUCUUCCCACAUCUGGAACAUAUAUAGACCAGGCUGGCCUGGAAUUGACAGGAUCUUCCUGCCCGUGCCUCUCCAGUGCUGGAGUUAUAGGUUUACAUCAUCACAUCCGGUUACAAAUUCCUUUUCCUCUCCUCCCUCAAUUCUCUCCCUAUGUUCCAAGCCAGCCUGGUCUAGAGAGAUCCUCUGCAAGCUGAUUCAGCUGACCGUCCCAUUCAGGAGGCUCACCAUCCUGAAUCUGGGCCGACUUAGGACUUGCAGUGACCAAGAGAACUUGGUAGAUGUAGCCCUGAAAAUUCUCGUCCUUGGGAGGCAGAGGCAGGAAGGGUCUGGAGUACAGGGCCAGCCUGGGCAAUAUAGUAAGAUCAAAGCUGGGAUAUAUCAAAAGCAAGACCCUGUCUGAAAGACAAAAGAUCUCUCUCUCUCUCUCUCUCUCUCUCUCUCUCUCUCUCUCUCUCUCUCUCACACACACACACACACACACACACACACACACACACACACACACACAUACACACACACACACACACACACACACACACACACACACACACACACACACUGGGGUGGGAAUGUCUGUAGCUAGAGUGCCUGCCUAGCAGGCAUGAAGCUCUGAGUUAGGUCCCCCGCACAGCAUAAACUGAGUGUGGUGGUGAAUGCCUGCAAUCCCAGUGCUUGAGAUCAAGGCAGGAGGGUCAGAAGUUUAAGGUCAUCCUCAGUUCCAUAGGGAGAGCAGUAGGAGACCAAGCUGCGGAGGGAGAGGUGUUUUUGUUAGAAAUAAUCUAGUAAGAGUCACAAAGCCCAGGCUUAGAGAUGCCUAACAGCUUCCUGUGUGCCAUCUGCCACCCAGAGACUGUUGGUAAAAAUACCCAGAAUAGCCUCUUUGAGGCACCUGCCACCCAUCCUGUGAUGGAGGCCACCUUGAAUCUCAUACUUUAACUGAGCCCCAGGUGGCCCCAGUGUAAACCGAGAGAAGUCUGCCCACCUGACUCAGUCUAAACCUCCCACCCACGAUCUGAGUAAAUAGCGAGUUCCCCCCACCGUUUUUGUGUUCGGAGACAAGGUCUCACCAUGUAAGUCAAGCUGGUCUUGUACUCCUAACCCACCUGCCUCAGCUUCCACAGUGGUAUGGUUACGAGUGUACAGCACUGCCCCCGGGCUCUCAGCCGUCAUUUUUCCACAUUCUGAGUGGUGUGUUCCGCCGUGACGUCCUGGCUCUGUCACACGCCUAUGCCAUUUUCCCCUAGCAUCCCUGUGGCUGGGUGUGGCCAUGUGACUGACUGGGGGUCAAUGGCUGUAGUGCUGGAUAUAAUUCUUCCCACCUUGUCUUUCUCCCCUACAACUGAGCACAAGUGUGCACAUCUACAGGGCCAGAACAAUCCAGGAAGCACAUGGAAGAGCGGGGCCUCACAUAAGAGUGAGCUCCACAGCUGCUUGUCCCCCAUGGCCCUGCCUGAGACGUAUUUUUAUUUUUAUUUUUUAUUUUAUUUAUUUAUUUUUUUGGUUUUUCGAGACAGGGUUUCUCUGUGUAGCUUUGCGCCUUUCCUGGAACUCGCUUUGGAGACCAGGCUGGCCUCGAACUCACAGAGAUCCGCCUGGCUCUGCCUCCCGAGUGCUGGGAUUAAAGGCGUGCGCCACCACCGCCCGGCGUAUUUUUAUUUUUAGACACGGUCUCUCUAUACAGCCCUGCCUUACCUAGAAUUUGCUCCAUAGAUCAGGCUGGCUUAAAAGUCACAGAGAUUUACCUGCCUCUGCCUCCCGAGUGCUGGGAUUAAAGGCAUGCACCACCACAUCCGACUUGGUGGUGCACACCUUUAACCCCAGCACUCGGGAGGCAGAGGCAGGUGGAUCUCCGAGUUUGAGGCUAGCCUGGUCUACAGAGUAAGUUCCAGGACAGCCAGGGCUACACAAGUAAACCUUGUCUGAAAACAAACAAAGUCUGGAAAACAAAUAAAAUAAAAUUUUAAAAGGUGUGCACCACAAUGCCCAACUCAGAUUGAGUUUUUGUUAGCACAUUAAGAGUUUGGGAUUAUUUGUGACAGCAGUUAGCCCACCUUGAAUAACUAUUAGAAGAACCAAUGACAGGACUGAAAGGUAAUAUUGGGCUGAGGGUGUGGCUCAAUGGUAGAGUCCCUGCCUAGAAUCCCCCAGUGAGGGGCUGGGGGCGUGGCUCAGUAUUUCCUUGACCUGGGCAAGGUCAUGGGUUCCGUUUCCAUUAGCAAAGAAAGGAAGCUGAAAGCCAACCCUAACAGCAUCAGUGCCCCCAGAAGCCUCAGUUUCUUUCCCAAGGUAACAGCACUACCAUAGCUACCACUGAUGAGCAUGUGCUGCUGGAGCUCCUGUGGUAAGGGCACUGCCAUGUCCUUCCCGACUGAUCUUCACAAUGCAGAAAAGGGGGCUCGCUUUCUUUCUUUCUUUCUUUCUUUCUUUCUUUCUUUCUCUCUCUCUCUCUCUCUCUCUCUCUCUCUCUCUCUCUCUCUCUCUCUCUCUCUUUGUUUUUGUUUUUCAAGACAGGGGUUCUGGUGUAGCCCUGCUGGUUGUCCUGGAACUUGCGCUGUAGACCAGGCCGACCUCAAACUCACAGAGAUCCUCCUGCCUCUGUCUCCUGAGUGCUCAAAUUAAAGGCGUGCACCACCACUGCCUGGCAGUGGGGCUCUAUUUCAAUCCCUGUUUUCCCAAUUCCCUGAUAAUGAAUCUGUGCCAGAGACUGAUCUCAGAGCCUCACAUCUCAAGUCCCAGUGUGUAGGUGAGGAAAUUGGCCAUAGUCAAAACUGCCAAAGGCAGGAGCCUCUGACCUUCUGGCCUGCCUCCACAUCCCUUCCGGCCAUCUGGGUAAAUGUCCAGCACUGGUGAAGGGUUCUGGACGAUGUUGUGAGAGGCUUGCCAUGGCAAGAAGCUAUAUUGGGUUUUUUUUCUAUCUGUUUGCUGAUUUCUCAUCUCACUAGGUUGCCCAGAGGUUCUGAACUUCAGGACUCAGGUGACGUUCUUGUCUCAGCCUCUCUGGUUCUGGAAUUAGAGACAUGUUCUACAGUGGAUGGCCAGUUAUUUGGCCAGAAUCUAUUUAUUUAUUUAUUUAUCUUUCAAUUUUAUUUUAUAUAUACAGGUGUUUUUUGCCUGCCUGCAUGUGAAUGCACCAUUUGUGCAUCUGGUGGCCACAGAGGCCAGAAGAGGGCAUCUGAAUCCUGGAACGGGAAUUACAGACAGUUGGGAGUUGGUGUGGGUGUUGGAUAUGAAACCUGGGUCCUCUGGAAAAGCAGCCAGUAUUCUUAACCACAGAAACAGCUCUCCAGUCUCUGGAUUUAUACUUAUUUACCAUUUAGGUGUGUGUGUGUGUGUGUGUGUGUGUGUGUGUGUGUGUGUGUGUGUGUGUGCAAGUACUCAUGUGUGAGUGUCUGCACAGAAUCCAGAGGAGGGCAUUAGGAUUGAAUAUCCCCUCUGUCACUCACCCACCUUAGUCCUUUGAGGCAAGGAGUCUCCCUGAACCUGGAAUUCACGAUUUGCCUUGGUUUUUCCUGUAGCGUGGCAGCCUCCACUUCCUGAGUGCCACGAGAUAGAUAUGAGGCACCGUAGCCAUUUCAACUCUCUUUAAAUUAUUAAUGGCUGGGCAUGGCAGAGCACACUGGUAAUUUCUGCACUAGGGACGAUGUGGAAGGAGGUUUUCCAGUCCAUCCAGGGCUAUAUUAAAAGCACCUCUGCUUCGAAGAAACAAAACAACAAAAUAAGCCGAGCGAUUCUCCUUGUGUCUUCCAUUCUGCCUUGUAGUGGGUUGUCCGGUAUGUGCAGCCCUUGAGUGUCAGGGAAGUUUCUGGGCCUGGUACCCAGAGAUAAGUCAGAUGAGGUCCAGGCCCUUAGAAAAUCUUUACCAUUUAUAAGGAACUAGCCACAAAUCAAUGUAAUAUUCCAUCAGAAGUGUUAGAUUCAAGGGAUUCCUUCUGUAGGAUAUAAGCAGGGACUGCUGGCUUCCCAUCUCAACAUUCUUCCACUUAUCGUCAAGAAAGCCUCAUUGUACUUUACGGUUGUUCCCUGCCCAGCGAGAUAUUUCUGACUCCCUUGCAGCUAGGUAAAGUCAUGUGAUAAAGUUUAUUCUAAUUAGACCUAAGCAAAAAUAUCAUACAAUCAUUUAUGGAGUACUUCCUAAUAAAGGGGGAAAAACCCUUUUUUUCUACUGGGACACCCUCACGCAUCCUGGAAACAGGACGGGAUUGUGGGAUGCUGGCAGCCAUUUUGGGUCCCAGUGACAAAGGAGUGAUGGAAUCAAGAGUUGGAAGUGUCCGGGUCUUUGGUGGUGAUGUGGAGUGGACACACUUUCCAAUUCUGGACUUUUUUUUUUUUUUUUAUGUUGGUGAUGUCUAAACCACCCUUUGGAUUUUAUCUAGUGUCUCCCAGAAUGACAAACGCAACACAUUCAAUCUUCACCUCAAAUAUUUUCUUCCCUACAUUUUUAUAAGUGCAGUAGGUGCCGCAAACCAUCCACUCAGUUGCUCAGGCCAAAAGACGACAAGCCACCCAAGUGUUCGACCUCUUCCUCAGCCCUGACACCCGUCCCUCCAGCAAUGUCUGCAUAUUUUACCUCUUACACGUGUCGGAAUCCAUGUGGCUUUGUCUGUCUCCCAGAAUCCUGGCCUCAUCUCUCAUCUGGAUCUCUCCAGAAGCUAUCUGUGGGUCUCAACUUCCAAGCCUGCCUCUCAUGUCCAGGCUGACCUGUAACACAUGACUGUCUUGACUUUGCCUCCUGAAUGCUAAGGUAACAGGCAUGCCACCAUGCCCAGAUUAUAUGGGUUUUUCUUUCUUUUUUCUCCUCCUCCUCCUCUUCUACUUUAUUUUUCAAGACAGGGUUUCUCUGUGCAGCCCUGGCUGUCCUGGAACUCACUAUGUAGACCAGGCUGGCAUCAAACUCACAGAGAUCCACCUGCCUCUGCCUCCCAAGUGCUCGGAUUAAAGGUGUGCGCCACCACCACUCGGCUGCUUCUUUUUUUAGGUACAGUCUUACUGUGUAGCCCUGGUUGACCUGGAACUUGACAUGUAGAUGAGGCCUGGGUUAAAGGUUUGUACCACUGUACCUGACUAGGGGGACUCUUUUACAUUUAAGAUUUAUUUUAUUUUUUCAUUACGUGCAUGAUGUGUCUGUGUGUGGGUAUGUGCACAUGCUGCAGGUGCCCUAGGAGACCAAAGGGUUUGGAUCCCUGGAAGCUGGAGUUACAAGUGAUUUUGAGCCACCUCACCUGGGGGCUGGGAAUCAGAACUCAGGUCCUCAGCAGGGAUAGUAUGUGCUCUUAACCACUGAGCCAUUGUUUUGCUGUUCUUUUCUUUUCUUUUUUUGGUUUUUUGAGACAGGGUUUCCCUGUGUAGUUUUGGAGCCUGUCCUGGAUCUCGCUCUGUAGCCCAGGCUGGCCUCGAACUCACAGAGGUCUCUGCCUCCCAAGUGCUGGGAUUAAAGGCCAGAAGGGGCGUCAGCUCUCCUGGAACUGGAACAACCGCUGCAGAUGGUUCUUAGCUGCCGCGUGGGUGCUGGGAAUCAAGCCUUGGUCCUGCACGGGUAACGAGUGCUCUUAACUUCUGAACCAUCUCUCCAGCUACCCUCUCACCCCAUAGAUGCAUGGGACUCAGGGGACUAGAGAUGUUUCCGUGGAUAAAAUGCUUGCUGCUUAUCAAGUGCGAGGCCUGAUUUCCAGCAUACAAAUAAAGCAGGCACGCACCUGUAAGCCAGGGGCUUGGGGUGGGGCGGGGGGGGGGGGUGCAGACAGGAGGAUCCCCAGAGUUUACUAGUCAGCUACUCUAGCCAAAUUGGUAUGCUCCAGGUUCCUUGAGAGACCCUGGGUCAAAAAAAGCGGGGGUUGGGGAAGAGGGGCAAGCGAAAGAGCUCAGUGAGUAAAGGUGCUUGCUGCUAAGACCCACAACCUGAGUUCGAUCACUGGGACCCAUGUGAUGGAGGGAGAGAACCAGUCUCUGCAGGUUGUCCUCAGACCUCCAUGAGUGUCAUAACACCUGCCAUCAACUCCCCCCCACACACUCAAAUAAAUAAAUACACGUAAUUUUAAACAUGCAGGGGCUGGAGAGAUGGCUCAGAGGUCGAGUGCACUGGCUGCUCUUUCAGUGGACCCGGGUUUGAGUCCCAGCAUCAACACGGUGGCUAACAGCCAUCUGUAAACUCUGGUUCCAGGGAACCUUUUCUUCUGGACUACGAGAACACCAGGUACAUAUGGGUGCACAGACAUACAUGUGACCAAAACACCCUCGCUCAUAAAAUAAAAAUGUAAGCAAAUUAAAAAAAGAGAGAGAGUCAGGUAUGGUGGCACAAUGGUGGCAUAUGUCUUCAAUCCCAGCACUCAGGAGGAAUAGGCAAGUGGAUCUCCGGGAGUUUGAGGUCAGCCUGCUCUACACAGUGAGUUCUAAGCUAAGCAAAGGUGACAGUGAUGCUCUGUCUCAAAUGAAAUAAGCAUAUAAGUAAAAGCACAAACCGAGGUGGAGAGCAGCUGAGGAGGUCACGUGACCUGGAUCUCUGGCCUCCACACACGUGCACAUACAUACAAAUGUUCACACACUAACAUGUACACACUCAGACACACAAAGAACCUGCUUACAGUAUUAUCUUCCAUGCCUGCCUCUCACACCCAGGCUGUUCUUGAACACAUGACCUUCCUGCCUUAGCCUCCUGAGUGAUGUGUGGACCACCAUGCCCACGUUAAAAUCAGCCAACAGGGCUGCGGAUGAUUGGGCCUUUGCCCAGUGGUGUGGAAGACCUCAAAGCCCACCCCAGCCCAGCAGCGCCAGCAGCAUCCAGCCCUCCCACGGCAGCCUAUCACAAACUCCUGUGUGGGCCCUUCCAGGUACCGAACAGGCCCAGGUGUCACCCCUCUCCUGUUCACUGCCCUCUAGACUAACUGGCCUCAGUGUCCCUCAAGCACAUUGAAUUUGCUCCCCCCUCAGGGCCUUCGCAUGUACUUCCCUCUGCCUGGUUGUCCUCUUCUACAACUCCCACCAUCUUAGGGCUGUCUUCUGUGCUCCUUCAGUGACCUCUGACCUCCUCCAAAAGACCUUCCCUCACCCUCUGUCUCUUUGCCUCCAAAACACUUUCUGUCUCCUUCCCAUUGGUUGAUGUAUUCUAUGGAAAUAACAUCGAGGCUCUACGAAGGUGAGUGUGUGACCAACUGAGGUUAAGGCUCCACACACCCACACACACCCAUACACACCCAGUCAAGAAGUAUGCAUAGCCCUCAGUCGCCAGGCAGGAGGAUCAGUGGUUCAACGUCAUCCUCCCUUAUGUAUCUUGUUGGAAGCCAGCUUGGGCUGCAGGAGACACUGUCUCAGAAAUGCAAAUCUGGGGGAGCGGGAGAGAUGGACGGUUCAGCAGUUAAGAGGGUCGCCUGCGACUCUUGCAGACAAUCUGAGUUCAGUUCCCAGCACCCUCAACAGACAGCUCACAACUUCCAGGAGCUCCAGGUCCAGGGGCCCUGAUGCCUCUGGCCUCUGCAGGCACCAGCAUUUGCAUAUACAUAUCCUGACACACACAUAAUUUAUAAAAAUAAGUCUUUUAAAAACAAUAGCAGGAGGGCUGGAGAGAUGGCUCAGAGGUUAAGAGCACCGACUGCUCUUCCAGAGGUUCUGAGUUCAAUUCCCAGCACCCACAUGGUGGCUCACAACCAUCUGUAAUGAGAUCUGGCACCCUCUUCUGUAUACAUAAUAAAUAAAUAAAUCUUUUAAAAAAAACAAAACAACAGCAGGAAUGGAGAGAUGGCUCACAGAGGUCAGGAGCACUUGCCAUUCUUCCAGAGGACCUGAGUUCAGUUCCCAGCGCCCACAUCAGACCGCACACAACUGCCUAUGAAUCCAUCUCCAGGAGACCCGAUGCCCCUUCUGACUUCUGAAGGCACCUGCACACACACACACACACACACACACACACACACACACACUCACACACAUGCUCACACAUACAGUGCAAAAUUCACCAGGCGUGGUGACACACGCCUUUAAACCCAGCGCUUCAGAAGCAGAGGCAGAGAGAUCUCUGUGAGUCCAAGGUCAGCCUGGUCUACACAGUGAGUUCAAGGCCAGCUAAGGCUACAGAAUAGAGAGACCCUGUCUCAAACAAACAAAAACAAACAAACAAAAAACAAAACGAGGCUGCAAGAUGGCUCUGUGGGUAAAGACAGCAAGCCGAGUUUGAUCCCCAGGACCCACAUACACAAAAGAAAUAAAUGACUAUAACAACAAAAUUUUAAAAAUUAAAAACAGAACAUUUAGAGAGCUUGCAGAAAGUGCUACACUACUCAGGUAGGAUCUUGCUUGGGCUUCCAGACAAUUACGAACCGCAGCUUUAUUUUGGUUUUCUUUGAGACAGGGUCUUACCACGCAGACCACACUACGCUAAAACUCACUAUAUAGGCCAGGCUGGCCUUGAACUCUUGAACCUCCCACUUCAGCCUCCCUAGUGCUGGGGUCACAGACAUGCUCUGCCACACCCUGCCUGGGGAUCUCAUUGUAAAUGCCAGGCAGAUCCCAGCUCCAUCUCUUGCCAUCCAUGUGACCUUGAGGAAGUGCCCCAACCUUUAUUAGCAGAGUCCACGCCAUCUGUGAGAUGACCGAGAUGCCAGAGAUAGCUUCGCAGGAGUCAGCCUUGCACCCAACACUCCAGAAGAGGCCUCUUUGAUGGCUGUUAUUACAGGUUCUGGGAACAAGCCAGGCCUUAUGAAAACUAGUCUGCAUGGUCAAUACUUUAAAAAAAAAAAAAAAUCUUGCUGGGUAUGGGGGUUGUAAUACCAGCAACCUGGAGGCAGAGGCAGGAAAGAUCUCUGAGUGUGUGAGGCCAGUCUGGUUACUUAGAGAGUUCCAGGCCAGCCAAGGAACACCUUGCCUUAUAAACCAAAAUCCCCAAAUAAUAAUCUUGUGCUGGGAUGUAGCUCCUUUGGGAGAGUGCUUGCCUAGCAUUUCUUGAAGUCCUGAGUUUGAGCCCUGCUAUUGCAUAAGCUAGGCAUGAUGGUGCAUACCCAUAAUUCCAGCAUUUGGGAGGUAGAGGCAGGAGGAUCAAGAGUUUAAGGUUAUCCUUGACUAAGCAUCGAGUCUGAGGCCAGCCUGGGCUACAUGAGACACUGCUUCAAAAAACCAAACAAAACAAACUCCAACCAAAUGAAGUCUUAACAACUAUCUCGCCAGCCCUCACAGCUAAUAUGAAGUUAGCCCCCAUUUUACAGAUGUGGAGAGUGAGGUAUCCAAGAGGAGUUAGUGACAAAGUCUGCCAUUUCCUGGGAGCUAUGAGGACCCCCAUAUCCACCUCUCCCAUUUUCCAACUGCUCUCUGCUUGAGGGUGCAGAUGGGGCGUGGGGGGGCUUUUGUUGAAUUCCCUCCCCCUCCUGAAGAGUCAGUAAGCGACCGUGUUUCUGCCUGGAAUACUAAUUGGCCCAAGGCUUUUGUUUCUGGUUGGGGGGGUGGGGGCGGGACUUUCUGGUCAGAGAGGGGCUGAGCUUUUGGGACUGGGGCAUGGACUUUGAAAUGGUGUUGACAGCCAGAAGUCAUCAUGGGGACUGCGCUUGGAGACAAGUAGAGGGGAGGUUCUGGAAAAGGGGUUGUCAGGGGACAUGGAGAGACUCAGCAUCCUCUACCCUAGACUCACAAACACAGGCAACAACUGUCCCAGGCCCAGGAACCUCCUCCCUCAGACCCAGGGCUCCGGGGUAAGCCCUCUUCCCUCAGACCCAGGGAUCCAGGGCCAGCCCUCCUCCCUCAGACCCAGGGGUCCAGGGCCAGCCCUCCUCCCUCAGACCCAGGGGUCCAGGCCCAGCCCUCCUCCCUCAGACCCAGGGGUCCAGGCCCAGCCCUUCUCCCUCAGACCCAGGGGUCCAGGCCCAGCCCUCCUCCCUCAGACCCAGGGGUCCAGACCCCAGCCCUCCUCCCUCAGACCCAGGGAUCCAGACCCCAGCCCUCCUCCCUCAGACCCAGGGGUCCAGACCCAGCCCUCCUCCCUCAAACCCAGGGGUCCAGACCCCAGCCCUCCUCCCUCAGACCCAGGGGUUCAGGCCCAGCCCUCCUCCCUCAGACCCAGGGGUCCAGGCCCAGCCCUCCUCCCUCAGACCCAGGGGUCCAGACCCCAGCCCUCCUCCCUCAGACCCAGGGGUUCAGGCUCAGCCCUCCUCCCUCAGACCCAGGGGUCUAGGCCCAGCCCUCCUCCCUCAGACUCAUGAGACAGGGGUCCACAGUGCACAGCUGGUGGAUGUUUCCACAGAGACUAAGCAGGAUGGGGGAGUACUUCCUGGGUCCUGAGUCAGCGAAUACCCAAGGGAGUCUCAAGGUCACAGUUCUGGGAAGGUCAUAGCCACCCCCUUUGUAUCCGUUCCCCAGGGGGCCCCUGGAACCAUGCCUCUUUCCUUUUCCCUCCCCUGGGAAGCUGGUACAUUCCUGGGUCCUGCCUGAACCCCCCCUCAGCCCCCCCAUCAAUGGCGGAGUCCGAGCAUCGCUGCACAAAGCAUCAAUUCUUCCAGCAGACCAGCCUUGUGAAGGCGCCUGUAUUUGCAGGACCUAGGCAUCAGGGUCCCAGCUCAACCUCCCUCAGAAACCCCCAGCCCCUUUCUCCUCAGCCAAGAGUCUCAGCUUCUCUUCCUCAAACCUCUGACUUAGACCCCAGUCCUCCUCCUUUAGACCCAGGGGUCCAGGCCGGAGCCCUCCUCCUUCAGAUCCAGGGGUCUAGGCCCAGCCCUCCUCCCUCAGACCCAGGGGUCCAGACCCCAGCUUCCCCCCUCUGACACAGGGGUCCAGACCUCAGUCUCCUCCUCUGACACAGGGGUCCAAACCCUAGCCCCUCCUCCCUCAGAUACGGAGAUCUGAACCCUGGCUUCUCCCCUCUUGAAAACUUUGGAUUCCUGAACCAUGAUCCUGCCUUCUGUCCUUUGUAUCCUGAGUGUCUGGGGACCAGGGCCUUAGGUGGGGGCGUCUAGGGGUGAGUCAGCGGCCUAACACAAAGUCUUCCCUGUGGCCCCCACGUUCCUGGGAUACUCAGGACUCCCUGGAUUCCAGGCUUCUGGCCCAGCCAGGGGGUGAGGAGUCCCUCAGAGGGUCACCCUGAGCGUGGGGUUCCCGGAAGAAUGCAAGCUUCCUUUCAUUUUGCUUCGCCAAGCCUCGGCCACAGUUACCCUUCUAUAUCUUCCUCCACGAAGCCCCAGCAGCCCAUCCCACUACCCUGGGUGUCCACGGAAAGGCCUAGGUGCCCAGUGUCUACAGGCAGAAACCAUGGGUGCUCGGGCUCUGGUGCCAUGGGCCAUUGGAUGCUGGCGGGACUGGCUACAUCCAGCAACCCCCCCCAACACACACACAUACACCCAGAGAGAGAAAGCUGCCUUUGUGUUCCCCGAGUCGGGGACAGGCCAGGCUCGCACGACAUUAACCCACCCCUGGGCCCUAGCUCCGCUGGGUCUAAGGUCUUGGAAUCUGUGGAGGAACCUAACCUCCGCCCCCACACGGGGGGGACCCAGGCAUCCAGUCCAUGAGUGGGUCGGGGUCAGUGAUAGAUAUCUCCCAAGACCCAUUCUUUGGGGUGAGUCACGAUGAAAGGAGGGUCCCUCUAUGCCCUAAGUGGUUGCUUAGAGCUGUUAACAGGGAGAAGUGAGUCACCCUAGAAGGGAAACUUAACUUGGGAUCAACAAAGUCCCCCUCCACAGGGCUCCCCAAGUCUUAAUAACCUCUUUAUUCUUUCUCAGGAUCUACAUAUCAGCUUCCUGCUGCGGGUCCAGUCUCCUGUUGUGGGUCCCCCCACCCCAACCCCACGUGCAUCUCUGUGGUCAACUGCCCUGUAACGUAUUUCUAUCUACCUUUUUCUCUCAACAUCAGCCUCAUUCUCCUCUUCCCACAUUCUCCACAGAUGAGUGAGCCAGGAAAGACGGGAUACCUUGUUUCUUUUUUUUUUCUUUUCUUUUCUUUUGUUUCUUUUUGAAAGGCACAAAUAGAGGCUCCAGUCUCCCCGUCCUGCUGCUGGCUGGGUAAGGAGAUGUAGGGACCAUUGAUACUUCCUAAAAAUGGGUGGUCAGGGACCUUCAUAAAGACUCAAUUAAAAAAAAAAAAAAAGCUGGACA